UGGAAGACGUUAUUUCUUUUUAACAACCAAG
This 31-nucleotide non-coding RNA is filed under the name Rattus norvegicus (Norway rat). The record is from RNAcentral. Lineage: Eukaryota; Metazoa; Chordata; Mammalia; Rodentia; Muridae.